RNAcentral lists this ribosomal RNA (254 nucleotides) under uncultured bacterium. RNAcentral describes it as "partial 16S ribosomal RNA". It matches the Rfam family "Bacterial small subunit ribosomal RNA", at positions 524 to 776 of the family's 1533-position model. The record is from RNAcentral.
UACGGGGGGGGCAAGCGUUGUUCGGAAUUACUGGGCGUAAAGGGCUCGUAGGCGGCCAACUAAGUCAGACGUGAAAUCCCUCGGCUUAACCGGGGAACUGCGUCCGAUACUGGAUGGCUUGGAUUUGGGAGAGGGAUGCGGAAUUCCAGGUGUAGCGGUGAAAUGCGUAGAUAUCUGGAGGAACACCGGUGGCGAAGGCGGCAUCCUGGACCAAUAUUGACGCUGAGGAGGCGAAAGCCAGGGGAGCAAACGGG